Molecule: long non-coding RNA, 784 nt
Filed under: Setaria viridis
Lineage: Eukaryota; Viridiplantae; Streptophyta; Magnoliopsida; Poales; Poaceae
Description: long non-coding RNA (SVIR_LNC005904)
Source: RNAcentral
UCGAGGGUAAGAGUAGAUUCUCGGAGCCUGCAGAGAGAACAGUUUUAGAGGAAGAAGGACUAGCAGCAGUGGUGGUUUGAGGGCGGGGCGCGGCGAGGCAACGUGAACCGAUAGUCGUGGGUAGAGGAGGCGACAACAGUCACCGAAUUAGUACAGUUGGGCGGUGGGAGUUGAGUUGGUGAGGAUAUGGUGAUCAUCAAGCUGUCGAGGACGUAGGUGGCUACGAGAGCAAUGUGAACUUGUUGUAAUAAAAAGGGACGGAUAGAGGUUGUUGGGGGAUUGGGGAUAUGGUGAUCAUGAAGCCAUUGAAGAUGUAGGCGGGUGCGAGAGCAACAUGCAAAAUGAGCUUAUCGCCGUAAAAAGGGGAAUGAUAGAGGUUGAAGAAACAAUCUAGGCUGCUGAUUCAAAACCAAUGGUCGAGAGGUGUUGCCUGAUUUGUUUUUCGAGAUGCAACGCAUGAUAGGUAACUAGUUUCAUAUUUUAAAGAGUAUAAAAUCUAAAUCUAGAUAUGGCAACAAGAACCACCGCAUUAGUACGGUUGGAGGGUGGGGGUUAGGAGGGGGAUACGGUGAUCAUAAAACCGCCGAGGACGUAGGUGGCUGGCAAGAGCAAUGUACAAAAUGAUUUUGUCAUGGGAAAAAAAAGGAAUGGGCGGAAGUCCAAGGCUAGGUUGUUGCCGGUUGGAUUCAAACCCAGCUAUCGAGAGGCGUCGCCUUUUAUUUUAGAUGAACUACAAUAAAUAGCCACUCCCUCCGUUUCAAAUUAUAGAUUAUUUUGACUUUUU